This 416-nucleotide ribosomal RNA is filed under the name uncultured bacterium. Its description in RNAcentral is "bacterial SSU rRNA". It matches the Rfam family "Bacterial small subunit ribosomal RNA", at positions 340 to 749 of the family's 1533-position model. The record is from RNAcentral.
UACGGAAAGCAGCAGUGGGGAAUAUUGCACAAUGGGCGCAAGCCUGAUGCAGCCAUGCCGCGUGUAUGAAGAAGGCCUUCGGGUUGUAAAGUACUUUCAGUCGUGAGGAAGGUGUUAAGGUUAAUAACCUUAGCAAUUGACGUUAGCGACAGAAGAAGCACCGGCUAACUCCGUGCCAGCAGCCGCGGUAAUACGGAGGGUGCGAGCGUUAAUCGGAAUUACUGGGCGUAAAGGGCACGCAGGCGGUUAAUUAAGUUGGAUGUGAAAUCCCCGGGCUUAACCUGGGAAUGGCAUUCAAGACUGGUUAGCUAGAGUCUUGUAGAGGGGGUAGAAUUCCAUGUGUAGCGGUGAAAUGCGUAGAGAUGUGGAGGAAUACCGGUGGCGAAGGCGGCCCCUGGGACAAAGACUGACGCUCA